Actinobacteria bacterium OK006 is the source of this 170-nucleotide non-coding RNA. Lineage: Bacteria; Bacillati; Actinomycetota; Actinomycetes. The record is from Rfam.
GUCACCGCGAGGUGGGGUCCGGAGGAAGCCGGAGGCAAAACCGGGUACCGAUGUACAAGAACCGCGUAGAGGCGGGAUGGACUGGGUCAGGCGGCUCAAUACGCCGAUGCCCGUUCUCACCAAGAAGGCCAUCGCGUAGACGCGGCGGCGAUCCGGGGAAAGCGGCCGUA